AACAUCGCCUCCUGCAAAAAUCAAUGUAUAGGAGGUCCUGCCUGCCCAGUGACAACUUGUUAAACGGCCGCGGUAUUUUGACCGUGCUAAGGUAGCGCAAUCACUUGUCUUUUAAAUGAAGACCUGUAUGAAUGGUGGAACGAGGGCUUAGCUGUCUCCCCUCUCCCGUCAAUGAAAUUGAUCUGCCCGUGCAGAAGCGGACAUACACAUACAAGACGAGAAGACCCUUUGGAGCUUAUUGGGGCGACCGCGGGGGAAAACAAAGCCCCCAUGUAAAACUAAGAGAGACAUCUCUAAGCCACAGAACAUCUGACCAAAAGAUCCGGCAUACAAGCCGAUCAACGAACCAAGUUACCCUAGGGAUAACAGCGCAAUCCCCUCCAAG
RNAcentral lists this ribosomal RNA (385 nucleotides) under Cyphocharax microcephalus. Its description in RNAcentral is "partial 16S ribosomal RNA". It matches the Rfam family "Bacterial large subunit ribosomal RNA", at positions 1812 to 2496 of the family's 2925-position model. Lineage: Eukaryota; Metazoa; Chordata; Actinopteri; Characiformes; Curimatidae. The record is from RNAcentral.